Pomacea canaliculata is the source of this 406-nucleotide long non-coding RNA. RefSeq lists it as uncharacterized. The transcript has 2 exons. The record is from RefSeq and is a predicted model, not a curated record. Lineage: Eukaryota; Metazoa; Mollusca; Gastropoda; Architaenioglossa; Ampullariidae.
GCAGUUUCAGUGAGCUAGAUAUCAAUAAGUCUCUUUACUAUCAGUGAGAUAAAUAAGGCUGUGCAAAGUUUUUGAAAACAAUGUGUUUCUUUUCACUUCAGAUGAAACACUCUGCUGAGAUGACAGCCACCACAAAGGUGUCCAUCACUGGUGUAAUCACGUAAAGAUGAGCGCAGAAUAUAUUCCAUAUCAUAUAUUAACACACCUCCAGCACAGCUACAGUUCCAUCUGCCAGACCAGCAAACACACGCCAGGUUCCACUAUCUUCAAAUGCGCAGAAAAAGAAAUUACCGGUCAGCUUCUCUGUAGCAGCAAAUAUUCCAAGAUAGUGUACCAAACAAGAUGGCGUUUGGGAUGGCACACAAGCUCAUUACACGGCAAGAAAACUAAACAAAGAAAAAACAAA